Molecule: ribosomal RNA, 497 nt
Filed under: uncultured bacterium
Lineage: Bacteria
Description: partial 16S ribosomal RNA
Rfam family: Bacterial small subunit ribosomal RNA
Source: RNAcentral
GAUGAACGCUGGCGGCGUGCCUAAUACAUGCAAGUCGAGCGAACAGAUGAGGAGCUUGCUCCUCUGACGUUAGCGGCGGACGGGUGAGUAACACGUGGAUAACCUACCUAUAAGACUGGGAUAACUUCGGGAAACCGGAGCUAAUACCGGAUAAUAUAUUGAACCGCAUGGUUCAAUAGUGAAAGACGGUUUUGCUGUUACUUCUAGAUGGAUCCGCGCCGCAUUAGCUAGUUGGUAAGGUAACGGCUUACCAAGGCAACGAUGCGUAGCCGACCUGAGAGGGUGAUCGGCCACACUGGAACGGAGACACGGUCCAGGGUCCUGCGGGACGCAGCAGUAGGGAAUCGGCCGCAGUGGGCGGAAGCCUGGCGGAGCAACGCCGCGUGAGUGGUGAAGGUCUUCGGAUCGUAAAGCUCUGUUAUUAGUGAAGAACAAAUGUGUAAGUAACUAUGCACUUCUUGACGGUACCUAAUCAGAAAGCCACGGCUAACUACGUG